Molecule: ribosomal RNA, 500 nt
Filed under: uncultured bacterium
Lineage: Bacteria
Description: bacterial SSU rRNA
Rfam family: Bacterial small subunit ribosomal RNA
Source: RNAcentral
AUGAACGCUAGCGACAGGCUUAACACAUGCAAGUCGAGGGGUAACAGGGUAGCAAUACCGCUGACGACCGGCGCACGGGUGAGUAACGCGUAUGCAACCUGCCUAGUAACUGGGGGAAUAGCUCCCUGAAAGGGGAAUUAACACCGCAUAACACUAUUGAUUCGCAUGGAUUGGUAGUUAAAUGUAGCGAUACAGGUUAUAGAUGGGCAUGCGUGACAUUAGCUAGUUGGUGAGGUAACGGCUCACCAAGGCUACGAUGUCUAGGGGUUCUGAGAGGAAGGUCCCCCACACUGGUACUGAGACACGGACCAGACUCCUACGGGAGGCAGCAGUGAGGAAUAUUGGUCAAUGGGCGCAAGCCUGAACCAGCCAUGUCGCGUGCAGGAAGAACCUGCCCUAUGGGUUGUAAACUGCUUUUAUAGUAGAAGAAACACAUCUACGUGUAGAUGUCUGCCAGUAUACUAUGAAUAAGCAUCGGCUAACUCCGUGCCAGCCGCCGC